This is a long non-coding RNA of Bombus pascuorum, 953 nucleotides long. RefSeq lists it as uncharacterized. The transcript is spliced from 2 exons. NCBI's taxonomy places the organism in Eukaryota, Metazoa, Arthropoda, Insecta, Hymenoptera, Apidae. The record is from RefSeq and is a predicted model, not a curated record.
GACUGUACAUUCAUAAAAAUAUUCAACGUUCCUAGAUACAACAUAGAAGCUUAUUUCUUCAAACUGUGAGUCAAAGUAUGUUCGUAAGAAUUCCCAAAAGUAUUCAAUAUGUUUGAGGAUGGAAGAAUAGAAAUUCGGAUUCCCUAAACCGUAAGUUAUGAAGAAUUAAAAACCGUCCUUCCCAAAACUGAAAUAAGAAUCAAAUUUGAGAAAAGUUACUUCCAAUGUGUGUCUGCGAAGGGUUGAAACGGCAUUUCUCAAAACCACAAUCAAAUUGAAAAAAGAGGAGGAAAGUUUCAAGUACCGAAUCAUUCGUUCAACCCUUUCACAGGUCUUUAUCGUUACAGAAAAAUUUGUCCAUCGAACCUUCGUCCUUCGUAACCCUUCGCGAUGAGAAAUCGAUACUUAUCAUGUUCCACGGAGAUGCCUCGUGAAUCAGUCGACCACGUGGAAAAAUAUCCGUCUGGGUGGUCGUAAAAGUUCGUCCGUGAACCGUGUAUCGAGCCACGCCAACAGCGUAUAUAUGAAAUUUAUUUCUUGAUUCGUGAUGUGCCCAUGGGAAAGCUGGUGGUUCGUCCGUAAAACAGGUUGCCAUAGCUACACGCGGUUACGGGUGCCUUGAACCUUCGUAUGAAUCGCCUUCCUCCGUUUACAAAGCCUCUCGUCAUGUUUUUAGCCUUGUAAUUCCAAUUCCUGGCCAUUCUAAAGCCGUUUCGUCAGUAGAUUGAGAGUUAGUUUCUCUGUCCAUCGACGAAAUCCGGAGAUAGUUAAUAGAAAUCACCGUUUCGUGUCGUGUCAAUGACCCAGCGAAUGCUGUUAUUUUAAAGCAUGUUCCAAUAUCGAGCUAGAAGUCAAUGUCAAUGUUUUAUCAGACGAUGAAUUUAUUGUGAGAUUAUUGCUAGUGAUAUAAAAUUAUCUACUAGCAUUAAAUAUAGAAACGAAAUUUUUCCGAA